AAGUGGGUGAUCUUUACGGUCUCUUCCAACCCAAACCAUUCUGUGAGUCCGCCAGUGAGUUGCAGGCGCACAAGAAGCAUAAAGCAGAAGAUAAGGAGGGUCCAACCCUCAGCAGAGCCUGCAAAUCCACAAGAUAAGAUCUGACCUGACUGAUCAAAGAGGAGCGUGAUAAGAGCAGGAGCUCACGAGGUCUGAUGAUAAAUCUGUUUGACCCUUGCUUCUGGAAGGGAGGCACUCGGGAUAAGGAGUGAGCCAGGGCUGGGCUGCCUAUUCCUCACUGGGCAAGGACCUGGACUUGACACAGCGUCUUCUCCAGGGAAUCUCUGCUACAGUGAAGCUAUGGGAGCAGGGAAAGAAGUAGGAAUUGCUUUUAUCAGGUUCAUGAGCUGAACUGGCCUGUGGAGCCCCCGAGGAAUGCUGAAGCUAGUGGUGGGGUGAGCAGGGUGGCUGGAGACAGGGAAAAGAGGCAAUAAGAUUCCUAAAUGAAACCUUCUCUUUAAAAAAAAAAAAAAAAGGACAUUUCUCCUGUGUAUCCUACUCGGAACGAAAGCUGCCUGAUCGUUCAUGAAGGCUUCGAUACUUCACCAGUGUCUGGCAGGGGAACUCCUAACAGGAAGGAGGUGAUUUUUUGCUGUAUCGAGAAAGUUCGCUGUACUUGUUGACUUUAGCUGGGUGGUUCUGUUUGUAAGUGCGGUGUUUUUUCCCCAGCUUGUCAGUAUUGGAGGAAAAAAGUUAAGAACAACAGAAAUAGGGACUGAGAAUGAUAGCCACCCUCCACCCCUUGGUUUUAAAUGCAAGAGGGGGAAAAAAAGCGGGAUUACCCUCCAAGAGGAUGGUGACAGUAUAGCGAAUGCUGUGGUUGUGGCCUGGGGUGGAAUGUCAACAUUCAAUUAAUUUGGGCUUUUGCAACAUGGCAAAUAUGGCUUCUGAAAGCUACAGUAUGUCCACCCAGUGCCCUGCCUGUCACUGGGAUCAGAGCUGGAGCUUUUCAGUCACAGAUACUGGAGCCAGGCUUGAAAUUAGCUUAAAUGGGGCUGCUACAUGCCAGUAAAUUCACCAAAUUCUGCUUCUGGGCAUGCUGGGCAGACAGAAUUACUGUAUUAUUAACAGUGCUCUUCCUCACUCUCUGGCCUCCAAGCAUAUUUUUAGAGGCAUGCCAAAGAAGAAAAAUCUAAUUAAAAGGGUAUUCUGAAAAAAAAUUAAGGGAAUUGUAAUCCCCUGGGGCGGUUUGUUCAGACUGCCUGUGUGCAAAAAUGUUCCAGAGAGAGAAAAAACCCCGUAACACAACUUAGAAAAUGUUUGUUUGUCUAAAACAGCAGUCUACAAAAUCCUGUAGUACAGACUGUUACAGAUUAUUUUGCCUUCGGGACUUUUCUUUCCUGUAGCAGAAUGGUGUAGUGUUUGGUUGUCUCUGAAGCAAAAUUUCUAGAGUAACUUGAAAUAUGCUUUGUCUUUCUGUCCGAGGAGUGUUUUUCCAGGAACUAGCAGUUCUGAGUAACCCAGCCAUUUGCAUUCCGUGCCGUAAGCACCCAGAGAAAACCCGUUGCCUUAAAACCUGGGUUUCCCACAUGUAGAAAUUUGGGGACCUGAAGGAAACGACUGAAAAAUUUGCACAAUGUUUUUACCCGAAGGAGCCAGAGGAAGUUUGCAGUUAAUCAGGAUUCCAUUUUUAGGAUAUCUUAGGGAACAAGUGGAGCCCAGAUGCUUUUAGUAAAUGGCUUUCAAAAAAACUCCCCGUUGAGGACAGUGUCAAAUUUCCAGACACAUGAUCAACCUUGGAGCCAAGUUUAGGGUUGCUUUUGUGUUUACAUAAAGUCUGUGAGCUGAAUUACGCUGAAGGGUGGAAUGGAAAUUCUCCAUAAUAAAUAUUUGACUGGAUGCACAGUUUAUC
This is a long non-coding RNA of Calidris pugnax (ruff), 1891 nucleotides long. RefSeq lists it as uncharacterized. The transcript has 4 exons. The record is from RefSeq and is a predicted model, not a curated record. NCBI's taxonomy places the organism in Eukaryota, Metazoa, Chordata, Aves, Charadriiformes, Scolopacidae.